Molecule: ribosomal RNA, 497 nt
Filed under: uncultured bacterium
Lineage: Bacteria
Description: partial 16S ribosomal RNA
Rfam family: Bacterial small subunit ribosomal RNA
Source: RNAcentral
GAUGAACGCUGGCGGCGUGCCUAAUACAUGCAAGUCGAGCGAACAGACGAGGAGCUUGCUCCUCUGACGUUAGCGGCGGACGGGUGAGUAACACGUGGAUAACCUACCUAUAAGACUGGGAUAACUUCGGGAAACCGGAGCUAAUACCGGAUAAUAUAUUGAACCGCAUGGUUCAAUAAUGAAAGACGGUUUUGCUGUUACUUAUAGAUGGAUCCGCGCCGCAUUAGCUAGUUGGUAAGGUAACGGCUUACCAAGGCAACGAUGCGUAGCCGACCUGAGAGGGUGAUCGGCCACACUGGAACUGAGACACGGUCCAGACUCCUACGGGAGGCAGCAGUAGGGAAUCUUCCGCAAUGGGCGAAAGCCUGACGGAGCAACGCCGCGUGAGUGAUGAAGGUCUUCGGAUCGUAAAACUCUGUUAUUAGGGAAGAACAAAUGUGUAAGUAACUAUGCACGUCUUGACGGUACCUAAUCAGAAAGCCACGGCUAACUACGUG